RNAcentral lists this long non-coding RNA (262 nucleotides) under Vigna radiata. RNAcentral's name for it is "long non-coding RNA (VRAD_LNC013202)". The record is from RNAcentral. Lineage: Eukaryota; Viridiplantae; Streptophyta; Magnoliopsida; Fabales; Fabaceae.
GGCGGAAGGGGAAGCUGGUCUACCUAUCUCAAAAGUGUUGCUCAUAUCUGCCUGGUCCUCCAAAUCUUCAUCAAUCUCUUCAAGUGCAAGAGUAGGGACAUAGGAGGGUGGGAAAGUAGGUGGCACAAUAGUAAGAUCAUGACUCUGUUCCCCAUCUCCUAUGUGGAUGGCACCAACAUCAUCUGGAAGCUGAACAGCCUGAAAUAGUGAUUCCUCUGAAACAUAAGAUUGUUCCUCAGUGAGCUGAGUGGCCAUCUGCCCC